RNAcentral lists this ribosomal RNA (1333 nucleotides) under Candidatus Phytoplasma sacchari. RNAcentral describes it as "bacterial SSU rRNA". It matches the Rfam family "Bacterial small subunit ribosomal RNA", at positions 165 to 1493 of the family's 1533-position model. Lineage: Bacteria; Bacillati; Mycoplasmatota; Mollicutes; Acholeplasmatales; Acholeplasmataceae. The record is from RNAcentral.
AAGACUGGAUAGGGAAUAAAAAGGCAUCUUUUUAUUUUUAAAAGACCUUUUUCGGAAGGUAUGCUUAAAGAGGGGCUUGCGUCACAUUAGUUAGUUGGCAGGGUAAAGGCCUACCAAGACUAUGAUGUGUAGCUGGACUGAGAGGUUGAACAGCCACAUUGGGACUGAGACACGGCCCAAACUCCUACGGGAGGCAGCAGUAGGGAAUUUUCGGCAAUGGAGGAAACUCUGACCGAGCAACGCCGCGUGAACGAUGAAGUAUUUCGGUAUGUAAAGUUCUUUUAUUGAAGAAGAAAAAAUAGUGGAAAAACUAUCUUGACGAUAUUCAAUGAAUAAGCCCCGGCAAACUAUGUGCCAGCAGCCGCGGUAAUACAUAGGGGGCGAGCGUUAUCCGGAAUUAUUGGGCGUAAAGGGUGCGUAGGCGGUUUAAUAAGUCUAUAGUUUAAUUUCAGUGCUUAACACUGUCCUGCUAUAGAAACUAUUAGACUAGAGUGAGAUAGAGGCAAGUGGAAUUCCAUGUGUAGCGGUAAAAUGCGUAAAUAUAUGGAGGAACACCAGAGGCGUAGGCGGCUUGCUGGGUCUUUACUGACGCUGAGGCACGAAAGCGUGGGGAGCAAACAGGAUUAGAUACCCUGGUAGUCCACGCCGUAAACGAUGAGUACUAAGUGUCGGGAUUACUCGGUACUGAAGUUAACACAUUAAGUACUCCGCCUGAGUAGUACGUACGCAAGUAUGAAACUUAAAGGAAUUGACGGGACUCCGCACAAGCGGUGGAUCAUGUUGUUUAAUUCGAAGAUACACGAAAAACCUUACCAGGUCUUGACAUACUCUGCAAAGCUAUAGCAAUAUAGUGGAGGUUAUCAGGGAUACAGGUGGUGCAUGGUUGUCGUCAGCUCGUGUCGUGAGAUGUUAGGUUAAGUCCUAAAACGAGCGCAACCCUUGUCAUUAGUUGCCAGCAUGUCAUGAUGGGCACUUUAAUGAGACUGCCAAUGAAAAAUUGGAGGAAGGUGAGGAUCACGUCAAAUCAUCAUGCCCCUUAUGAUCUGGGCUACAAACGUGAUACAAUGGCUGUUACAAAGAGUAGCUGAAACGUAAGUUUAUAGCCAAUCUCAUAAAAGCAGUCUCAGUUCGGAUUGAAGUCUGCAACUCGACUUCAUGAAGUUGGAAUCGCUAGUAAUCGCGAAUCAGCAUGUCGCGGUGAAUACGUUCUCGGGGUUUGUACACACCGCCCGUCAAACCACGAAAGUUGGUAAUACUCAAAAACGGUAGCCUAACUUCUUCGGAAGAGGGAACCGUCUAAGGUAGGAUCGAUGAUUGGGGUUAAGUCGUAACA